RNAcentral lists this ribosomal RNA (207 nucleotides) under uncultured Latescibacterota bacterium. RNAcentral describes it as "uncultured Latescibacteria bacterium partial 16S ribosomal RNA". It matches the Rfam family "Bacterial small subunit ribosomal RNA", at positions 568 to 774 of the family's 1533-position model. The record is from RNAcentral. Lineage: Bacteria; Pseudomonadati; Candidatus Latescibacterota.
CGUGUAGGCGGUCAGGUAAGUGGAAUGUGAAAUGCCCCGGCUCACCCGGGGACCGGCAUCCCAAACUGCCUGGCUUGAGUAUGGGAGAGGAUGGAGGAAUUCCUGGUGUAGCGGUGAAAUGCGUAGAUAUCAGGAGGAACACCGGUGGCGAAGGCGUCCAUCUGGCCCAAUACUGACGCUGAGGCGCGAAAGCUAGGGGAGCAAGCG